UGCAGUAGAACGCUGAAGAGAGGAGCUUGCUCUCUCUUGGAUGAGUUGCGAACGGGUGAGUAACGCGUAGGUAACCUGCCUUGUAGCGGGGGAUAACUAUUGGAAACGAUAGCUAAUACCGCAUAACAAUGGAUGACACAUGUCAUUUAUUUGAAAGGGGCAAUUGCUCCACUACAAGAUGGACCUGCGUUGUAUUAGCUAGUAGGUGAGGUAACGGCUCACCUAGGCGACGAUACAUAGCCGACCUGAGAGGGUGAUCGGCCACACUGGGACUGAGACACGGCCCAGACUCCUACGGGAGGCAGCAGUAGGGAAUCUUCGGCAAUGGGGGCAACCCUGACCGAGCAACGCCGCGUGAGUGAAGAAGGUUUUCGGAUCGUAAAGCUCUGUUGUAAGUCAAGAACGAGUGUGAGAGUGGAAAGUUCACACUGUGACGGUAGCUUACCAGAAAGGGACGGCUAACUACGUGCCAGCAGCCGCGGUAAUACGUAGGUCCCGAGCGUUGUCCGGAUUUAUUGGGCGUAAAGCGAGCGCAGGCGGUUUGAUAAGUCUGAAGUUAAAGGCUGUGGCUCAACCAUAGUUCGCUUUGGAAACUGUCAAACUUGAGUGCAGAAGGGGAGAGUGGAAUUCCAUGUGUAGCGGUGAAAUGCGUAGAUAUAUGGAGGAACACCGGUGGCGAAAGCGGCUCUCUGGUCUGUAACUGACGCUGAGGCUCGAAAGCGUGGGGAGCGAACAGGAUUAGAUACCCUGGUAGUCCACGCCGUAAACGAUGAGUGCUAGGUGUUGGAUCCUUUCCGGGAUUCAGUGCCGCAGCUAACGCAUUAAGCACUCCGCCUGGGGAGUACGACCGCAAGGUUGAAACUCAAAGGAAUUGACGGGGGCCCGCACAAGCGGUGGAGCAUGUGGUUUAAUUCGAAGCAACGCGAAGAACCUUACCAGGUCUUGACAUCCCGAUGCUAUUUCUAGAGAUAGAAAGUUACUUCGGUACAUCGGUGACAGGUGGUGCAUGGUUGUCGUCAGCUCGUGUCGUGAGAUGUUGGGUUAAGUCCCGCAACGAGCGCAACCCCUAUUGUUAGUUGCCAUCAUUCAGUUGGGCACUCUAGCGAGACUGCCGGUAAUAAACCGGAGGAAGGUGGGGAUGACGUCAAAUCAUCAUGCCCCUUAUGACCUGGGCUACACACGUGCUACAAUGGUUGGUACAACGAGUUGCGAGUCGGUGACGGCAAGCUAAUCUCUUAAAGCCAAUCUCAGUUCGGAUUGUAGGCUGCAACUCGCCUACAUGAAGUCGGAAUCGCUAGUAAUCGCGGAUCAGCACGCCGCGGUGAAUACGUUCCCGGGCCUUGUACACACCGCCCGUCACACCACGAGAGUUUGUAACACCCGAAGUCGGUGAGGUAACCUUUGGAGCCAGCCGCCUAA
RNAcentral lists this ribosomal RNA (1419 nucleotides) under Streptococcus salivarius. RNAcentral describes it as "bacterial SSU rRNA". It matches the Rfam family "Bacterial small subunit ribosomal RNA". Lineage: Bacteria; Bacillati; Bacillota; Bacilli; Lactobacillales; Streptococcaceae. The record is from RNAcentral.